GCGCGGGUGGCGAAACUGGUACACGCACUGCCUUGAGGUGGCAGCGGGAGCAAUCCCUUGGAGGUUCAAGUCCUCUCCCGCGCA
Molecule: transfer RNA, 84 nt
Filed under: bacterium
Lineage: Bacteria
Description: tRNA-Leu
Rfam family: tRNA
About the family: Transfer RNA (tRNA) molecules are approximately 80 nucleotides in length. Their secondary structure includes four short double-helical elements and three loops (D, anti-codon, and T loops). Further hydrogen bonds mediate the characteristic L-shaped molecular structure. tRNAs have two regions of fundamental functional importance: the anti-codon, which is responsible for specific mRNA codon recognition, and the 3' end, to which the tRNAs corresponding amino acid is attached (by aminoacyl-tRNA synthetases). tRNAs cope with the degeneracy of the genetic code in two manners: having more than one tRNA (with a specific anti-codon) for a particular amino acid; and 'wobble' base-pairing, i.e. permitting non-standard base-pairing at the 3rd anti-codon position.
Source: RNAcentral